AGUCGAGCGGACAGAUGGGAGCUUGCUCCCUGAUGUUAGCGGCGGACGGGUGAGUAACACGUGGGUAACCUGCCUGUAAGACUGGGAUAACUCCGGGAAACCGGGGCUAAUACCGGAUGGUUGUUUGAACCGCAUGGUUCAAACAUAAAAGGUGGCUUCGGCUACCACUUACAGAUGGACCCGCGGCGCAUUAGCUAGUUGGUGAGGUAACGGCUCACCAAGGCAACGAUGCGUAGCCGACCUGAGAGGGUGAUCGGCCACACUGGGACUGAGACACGGCCCAGACUCCUACGGGAGGCAGCAGUAGGGAAUCUUCCGCAAUGGACGAAAGUCUGACGGAGCAACGCCGCGUGAGUGAUGAAGGUUUUCGGAUCGUAAAGCUCUGUUGUUAGGGAAGAACAAGUACCGUUCGAAUAGGGCGGUACCUUGACGGUACCUAACCAGAAAGCCACGGCUAACUACGUGCCAGCAGCCGCGGUAAUACGUAGGUGGCAAGCGUUGUCCGGAAUUAUUGGGCGUAAAGGGCUCGCAGGCGGUUUCUUAAGUCUGAUGUGAAAGCCCCCGGCUCAACCGGGGAGGGUCAUUGGAAACUGGGGAACUUGAGUGCAGAAGAGGAGAGUGGAAUUCCACGUGUAGCGGUGAAAUGCGUAGAGAUGUGGAGGAACACCAGUGGCGAAGGCGACUCUCUGGUCUGUAACUGACGCUGAG
RNAcentral lists this ribosomal RNA (708 nucleotides) under Bacillus sp. (in: firmicutes). RNAcentral describes it as "bacterial SSU rRNA". It matches the Rfam family "Bacterial small subunit ribosomal RNA", at positions 60 to 750 of the family's 1533-position model. Lineage: Bacteria; Bacillati; Bacillota; Bacilli; Caryophanales; Bacillaceae. The record is from RNAcentral.